CUAUGGGGUCCUAUGGGGUUCUAUGGGAUCCUAUGGGGCUCUAUGGGGCCCCAAUAGGGAUCUAUGGGGCUCUAUGGAAGUGUCCGCCCCCGGAUGGGGGUCAAGGUCCCGGGGAGGGGCGUUACGCGAGGCCGAGGCUUCAGGGGGCGGAGUAGGCCGCAAUGGGGCCCUAUAGGGAUCUAUGGGGGCUCUGUGGGGCUCUAUGGGAUCCUAUGGGGUCUCUAUGGGGUCCUAUGGGGCUCUAUGGGGCCCUAUGGGAUCCUAUGGGGCUCUAUGGGGUCCUAUGGGGGUCUGUGGGGUUCUAUGGGUGUCUAUGGGAUCUAUGGGUCUCUAUGGGUCUCUAUGGGGUCUCUAUGGGUCUCUAUGGGUCUCUAUGGGUCCCUAUGUGUCUCUAUAGUUCUCUAUGGGGCUCUAUGGGGCUGUGAUGAAGGGGGGGGUGAAGCCCGGCCCACCGUGUGUUCCUAUUGGCUGCAAUGAAGGGCGAAGCCCCGCCCACAAUAAACGCUAUUGGCUGCUGCCGUGAGCGGAGGCU
Molecule: long non-coding RNA, 532 nt
Filed under: Coturnix japonica (Japanese quail)
Lineage: Eukaryota; Metazoa; Chordata; Aves; Galliformes; Phasianidae
Description: lncRNA (ENSCJPG00005001956.1)
Source: RNAcentral